Molecule: ribosomal RNA, 232 nt
Filed under: uncultured bacterium
Lineage: Bacteria
Description: partial 16S ribosomal RNA
Rfam family: Bacterial small subunit ribosomal RNA
Source: RNAcentral
CGGACGGGUGAGUAAUGUCUGGGAAACUGCCCGAUGGAGGGGGAUAACUACUGGAAACGGUAGCUAAUACCGCAUAACGUCGCAAGACCAAAGAGGGGGACCUUCGGGCCUCUUGCCAUCGGAUGUGCCCAUAUGGGAUUAGCUUGUAGGUAAGGUAACGGCUUACCUAGGCGACGAUCCCUAGCUGGUCUGAGAGGAUGAUCAGCCACACUGGGACUGAGACACGGCCCAG